UAGAUGCGAGAGUAGAGCAUAUCAAUAAGCGGAGGAAAAGAAACUAACAAGGAUUCCCCUAGUAACGGCGAGUGAAGCGGGAAGAGCUCAAAUUUGAAAUCUUCAAGGUUCUACCUUGACGAAUUGUAGUUUAUAGAAGUGUUUUCUGUUAGUAGAGUGGCAAAAGUUCUUUGGAAUAGGACAUCAUAGAGGGUGAGAAUCCCGUAUUUGGUCAUUCUUUCUAGCUUUGUGAUACACUUUCAACGAGUCGGAUUGUUUGGGAAUGCAGUCCAAAAUGGGUGGUAAAUUUCAUCUAAAGCUAAAUAUUGGCGAGAGACCGAUAGCGAACAAGUACCGUGAGGGAAAGAUGAAAAGAACUUUGAAAAGAGAGCUAAGCAGUACGUGAAAUUGUCAAAAGGGAAGCGUUUGACACCAGUGUUGUUUUUCCGAAAAUCAAUUACGAAUGUUUUGUUUUUGAGAAGUUAUGACUUCAUCGGCUUGCUUCUCUCUUUACGAAACUUUCUUAAUGCACUUUUCGGUUAACAAGUCAACAUCAAUUUCUUUUGUUGUAAAAGGGUAUGAGGAAGGUGGCUUUCUUUUCGGAGAAAGUGUUUAUAGCCUUGUGCCUCUGCAAUCGGAGAGAUUGAGGUCUGCAGCGUAGAUCCUUCGGGGUUAGAUACAUUUGUGCUAAGUUAUAGCUUUUCAUAGACAACUUGUUGACUAUGUUAAGUCUUGUAAUUUACUCGCAGAUGCUAUUUUACCUACGCUUAGGAUGUUGACACACGCGCGUGCUC
Molecule: ribosomal RNA, 773 nt
Filed under: uncultured Neocallimastigales
Lineage: Eukaryota; Fungi; Neocallimastigomycota; Neocallimastigomycetes; Neocallimastigales
Description: partial large subunit ribosomal RNA
Rfam family: Eukaryotic large subunit ribosomal RNA
Source: RNAcentral